Long non-coding RNA from Cyclopterus lumpus (lumpfish), 2379 nucleotides. RefSeq lists it as uncharacterized. The transcript has 4 exons. Lineage: Eukaryota; Metazoa; Chordata; Actinopteri; Perciformes; Cyclopteridae. The record is from RefSeq and is a predicted model, not a curated record.
AAAUUAUUUCUGUUGGAGGGAAACUGCUACUGCUGCUGGGACCGGGGUACUGUUUGGUCUGCUUGUCUCUGCUGUUAACGUGACAUGCAGUAUUACCUGUAUUAUUACCUGGAGUAUUAUCUGCAUUAUUACCUGAGUAUUUUACAUACGCCUGUGAAUUUGACUUGUGGGAUGUCAACGGAGAACAGAAGACUGGAACAUGAACACAGAGGAAGGAUCCAACGGGAUCUGGUCACUUCAGUAAAGUUAAGUGAAUUUAUAUCUUGCAAAAAUAUUGAAGAUCAGGUAAGAAAACAUUUUCCCUGUUAUUUUCUAACGUAAUGUUAUGUUUUGUGUUCAUGUCCUUAAUGUAUGUAACUAACCCAGUCUAAAACUAUUUCAUUUUAGACAAAUAUAUAAAAAAAUGGAGAUAAUUAAUUUCAAAUGUUUAAAAAGUAACGUUAUUACAUUUAAAUCUGUUAAUUCGAGUGUUUUAAUACAGUUCAUAGUGGUGCUAUAGGCGGAUAAAAUGACUGUGACAAAGAGUUAGGUUAGCUAGUUAAGUAAACUAGCUACAGGUAACGUUAGCUUGUUAGCAUGAUUCUGUCUCCAGGACAGAAAAACAUACUUGAAUGUGGUUUAGAGGGGAGGGGAGGGGGAGAGAUGCGUGCUCCGUAACAUGCCCACACGACACGUCACUGGGGGUGAGGGGAGAGAUGCGUGCUCCGUAACAUGCCCACACGACACGUCACUGGGGGUGAGGGGAGAGAUGCGUGCUCCGUAACAUAUCCCCACGACACGUCACUGGGGGGGUGAGGGGAGAGAUGCGUGCUCCGUAACAUAUCCCCACGACACGUCACUGGGGGGGGGGUGAGGGCUGAGAGCCGUGCUCCGUAACAUAUCCCCACGACACGUCACUGGGGGGGUGAGGGGAGAGAUGCGUGCUCCGUAACAUGUCCCCACGACACGUCACUGGGGGGGUGAGGGGAGAGAUGCGUGCUCCGUAACAUGCCCACACGACACGUCACUGGGGGUGAGGGGAGAGAUGCGUGCUCCGUAACAUAUCCCCACGACACGUCACUGGGGGGGUGAGGGGAGAGAUGCGUGCUCCGUAACAUAUCCCCACGACACGUCACUGGGGGGGGGUGAGGGGAGAGAUGCGUGCUCCGUAACAUGUCCCCACGACACGUCACUGGGGGGGUGAGGGGAGAGAUGCGUGCUCCGUAACAUGCCCACACGACACGUCACUGGGGGGGUGAGGGGAGAGAUGCGUGCUCACAUGCCCACACAACACGUCACUGGGGGGGUGAGGGGAGAGAUGCGUGCUCACAUGCCCACACAACACGUCACUGGGGGGGUGAGGGGAGAGAUGCGUGCUCCGUAACAUGUCCCCAUGACACGUCACUGGGGGGGUGAGGGGAGAGAUGCGUGCUCCGUAACAUAUCCCCAUGACACGUCACUGGGGGGGGCACGCUCCGUGCUCCGCAACAUGUCCCCUGGGGUUUUUGAGAGUUAAGUAUAAUAUAUUAAAUGUAUAGUGUGCCGUUACUGAUUUCUUAACAGUAUAUAAGUUAUUAAUUAAUGAGAAGCAUUUCUUAUAUUCCAAGGGAACAGCUUUGAGAUAUAACUUACAGUAUUCUUCACUGUUUCACUGUACUUCACACAGCAAAGGACCAUAAGCAGUGCAUCACCUGUGAGAUCAUGAGAAGGCUGAAGAACCAGGAGUGACCCUAAGCAGUGCAUCACCUGUGAGAUCAUGAGAUGGCUGAAGAACCAGGAGUGACCCUAAGCAGUGCAUCACCUGUGAGAUCAUGAGAUGGCUGAAGAACCAGGAGUGACCCUAAGCAGUGCAUCACCUGUGAGAUCAUGAGAAGGCUGAAGAACCAGGAGUGACAAGAUACCACCGGAUGGUGGGACACAGAAUUAAACCCAGGGACAGUGAUCUGAAAAUGCCUGUUCUCCGACGUUCCCCAUCCAACCUGACAGCUUGAGAGGAUCUGCAGAGAAUGGCAGAAAAUCCCCAAAUCCAGAUCAAGCAUUGGAACAACGUUUACGGAGAACAGGCACCCAACAACACCCAAAGUCCAUCACUAAUGCACCAAGGAUCAGGCUGAUUACUGACGAUUUGGAAGAUUGUUCUUUAUCUGCACUGUCACUUAUGGUAAAGAUUCAUAGACCUUUUGCGGUAUGUUUUGAUUUUACUUAUUAAUACACUGCAUAGUUGGGAUUCUGAAAAGACCUCAUCAUGAUAGUAACUAACAGUCAAGAGAGACACAUGGAGAAAUGCCAUUUUUAGUUCUUCAAUUCCUCUUGGGGGGCUCUGAAGAACUGUUUGUGAAUAAUUGGUUGAUUUUGUAAAUAAAUAUCUAAAUACAUUAAAUACAAUUGUUUUAAAAUCAA